UACGUAGGGUGCAAGCGUUGUCCGGAAUUAUUGGGCGUAAAGAGCUCGUAGGCGGUUUGUCGCGUCGAAUGUGAAAACCCGUGGCUCAACCAUGUGGUCUGCAGUCGAUACGGGCAGGCUAGAAUUCGGUAGGGGAGACUGGAAUUCCUGGUGUAGCGGUGAAAUGCGUAGAUAUCGGGAGGAACAUCAGUGGCGAAGGCGGCUGCCUGGCCCAAUACUGACACUCAGGUGCGACAGCGUGGGGAGCAAACAGG
RNAcentral lists this ribosomal RNA (254 nucleotides) under uncultured bacterium. RNAcentral's name for it is "partial 16S ribosomal RNA". It matches the Rfam family "Bacterial small subunit ribosomal RNA", at positions 524 to 776 of the family's 1533-position model. The record is from RNAcentral.